GCUCCGUGAGCCAGAUGGGAAGGCACCGGUUUUACACGCCGGCAAGACGCGGCUCGAUCCCGCGACGGAGUACCA
Molecule: transfer RNA, 75 nt
Filed under: Bradyrhizobium sp. BR13661
Lineage: Bacteria; Pseudomonadati; Pseudomonadota; Alphaproteobacteria; Hyphomicrobiales; Nitrobacteraceae
Description: tRNA-Val
Rfam family: tRNA
About the family: Transfer RNA (tRNA) molecules are approximately 80 nucleotides in length. Their secondary structure includes four short double-helical elements and three loops (D, anti-codon, and T loops).
Source: RNAcentral